This 70-nucleotide transfer RNA is filed under the name Rhodococcus sp. ACS1. RNAcentral's name for it is "tRNA-Arg". It matches the Rfam family "tRNA". From Rfam's summary of the family: Transfer RNA (tRNA) molecules are approximately 80 nucleotides in length. Their secondary structure includes four short double-helical elements and three loops (D, anti-codon, and T loops). Lineage: Bacteria; Bacillati; Actinomycetota; Actinomycetes; Mycobacteriales; Nocardiaceae. The record is from RNAcentral.
UCUCUUGUAGCUCAGCGGUAGAGCAGCCCAAUCGGUGGGUGUGUCGCAGGUUCGAUUCCUGCCAGGUGAU